This 503-nucleotide ribosomal RNA is filed under the name uncultured bacterium. Its description in RNAcentral is "partial 16S ribosomal RNA". It matches the Rfam family "Bacterial small subunit ribosomal RNA", at positions 30 to 523 of the family's 1533-position model. The record is from RNAcentral.
AUUGAACGCUGGCGGCACGCUUAACACAUGCAAGUCGAGCGGGGUGAUGGUGCUUGCACUAUCACUUAGCGGCGGACGGGUGAGUAAUGCUUAGGAAUCUGCCUAUUAGUGGGGGACAACAUCUCGAAAGGGAUGCUAAUACCGCAUACGUCCUACGGGAGAAAGCAGGGGAUCACUUGUGACCUUGCGCUACUAGAUGAGCCUAAGUCGGAUUAGCUAGUUGGUGGGGUAAAGGCCUACCAAGGCGACGAUCUGUAGCGGGUCUGAGAGGAUGAUCCGCCACACUGGGACUGAGACACGGCCCAGACUCCUACGGGAGGCAGCAGUGGGGAAUAUUGGACAAUGGGGGGAACCCUGAUCCAGCCAUGCCGCGUGUGUGAAGAAGGCCUUAUGGUUGUAAAGCACUUUAAGCGAGGAGGAGGCUCUUUUGGUUAAUACCCAAGAUGAGUGGACGUUACUCGCAGAAUAAGCACCGGCUAACUCUGUGCCAGCAGCCGCAGUAA